Molecule: ribosomal RNA, 276 nt
Filed under: uncultured prokaryote
Description: partial 16S ribosomal RNA
Rfam family: Bacterial small subunit ribosomal RNA
Source: RNAcentral
UACGUAGGGGCUAGCGUUAUCCGGAUUUACUGGGCGUAAAGGGUGCGUAGGCGGUCUUUCAAGUCAGAGGUGAAAGGCUACGGCUCAACCGUAGUAAGCCUUUGAAACUGGGAAACUUGAGUGCAGGAGAGGAGAGUGGAAUUCCUAGUGUAGCGGUGAAAUGCGUAGAUAUUAGGAGGAACACCAGUUGCGAAGGCGGCUCUCUGGACUGUAACUGACACUGAGGCACGAAAGCGUGGGGAGCAAACAGGAUUAGAUACCCGGGUAGUCCCUGAG